AAGCACUGGCCGGAAACCGUGGUGUUCCGCCCAAUGCCUUGUGGGAGUUGUAGUUCUUGGAGAAGCCCCACCUUUCCCUUUGUAGUGCCCGCCUGCCUGAGAGGCUGUGAGCGCUCCUAAGAGGAGAUCAAAGAAGCUUGGGGGGCUUCAGGGGAAGAAAAUCCCUCCUUUAACAAAUUUGCUGUAUCCUUGACAUCCAUCAACAGCUUCAUUGAUGACUUGGGCUACCAAGGGAGUCAGGAGCUGACCAGUGAAGAAGAUCCCAGCCUUGUUCAGACGAAGAGGCGGAAGCAGAACAAGGUUUGCAUUCUCCAGAUGAGGAAAAAUGAGGUGAAAGAGGAAGACAAGGAGGACAAGGAGGAUGAGGAAGAGGAGGAGGACCAGAGAGAGGGGCCCCCUACCUCUUUGCAAUCACCUAGGACAGGACAGAGGCAAUGCCCGUACUCAAGAAUCCGCCAAGUGAGGCACAAGGAGCACCUGAGCAUCUUGGAAAGUGGCUUGAGCUUAUCCACCAAUGAAACCAAGUUGUCUGUCCAUGUUUUUGCCAAUACUUAUGUAGCUGCUGCCACAGGAAGCAGAAGUCAGUGGAGGAAAACAAGGCAUCCGACUCUGGAGCAAGGAGGAGCCCGGGUGAGACUGACUCAGCUGUGAGCUUCACUAAUGGGUGAUGGUCCAGAUCUCCACGGGGCUCCAAGGAAAGCUCUGGGCAGAAGCCAGAAGAGCAGAGUGUAAUCCUUCCGCUUAGAAAUAAAGCACAUUUUAUUUUUGUGAAUGGCAUGUGUGAGCCUGAUGAUUCCAGGUUUUUUUUGUUUUGUUUUGUUUUGUUUUUUUGCUAGAUGUAUUCAAUCCCUGCCCCACUUUAUCUCUCUGAACAUCCCGUUUGCUUGCUCCUUCCUUCCUUGCUUGACCCCAGGAGUUUGAGACCAGUCUGGGCAACAUGGUGAAAUCCCAUCUCUACAAAAAAAUAUAAAAAUUAGCUGGGCAUGGGCUGGGCGCGACGGCUCACGCCUGUGAUCCCAGCACUUUGGGAGGCCGAGGCUGUCAGAUCACCUGAGGUCAGAAGUUCGAGACCAGCCUGGCCAACAUGGUGAAACCCCAUCUCUACUAAAAACACAAAAAAUUACCUGGGUGUCAUGGCGGGCACCUGCAAUCCCAGCUACUCAGGAGGCUGAGGCAGAAGAAUCACUUGAACCUGGAAUGGGGAGGUUGCAGUGAGCCGAGAUUGCAUCACUGCACUCUAGCCUGGGUGACAAGAGUGAAACUCCAUCUUGAAAAAAAAAACCAAAAAAAAAAAAACAAAAACAAAACAAAA
Molecule: long non-coding RNA, 1312 nt
Filed under: Homo sapiens (human)
Lineage: Eukaryota; Metazoa; Chordata; Mammalia; Primates; Hominidae
Description: HSALNT0295985
Source: RNAcentral